GGAUCUGUGCCAUGUCUGUCUGUUUUGGUGCUAUUUCUGUUCUUAGCCUCUAGAUGGCGUUUUGAACCGGAGGAGAGGUAACAGGUGUUCUCUAUCUCCUCGAUAAUCUGCUGAGGAGUAUUUAAGGAGGAGGCUGCCAGCAACUCACUGCCAGAGUGUAGCCCUUUGUGGUACAGCUCAAGCCACAUUACUUUGCCUUUGCCUUGACCUUGCUUUGCUCUCUUGUAAUUUUGGAUUUGUUGCCUUGCAGGUUACCUGAACCUGACUUUGCCUUCAGCAUCGAAGUCUGCCUGGAUACCAUCUUCUGGAAAGAAGCUAUCCAACCCCAUGAACCAAGACUCAAGCCUCCUGUUUCCUCAUUGGAUCAAACCAGCUGGCAGUCUCCUGAUUCCUUCAUUCCAUGGAUCUACCUCUGUGAACCCUGUCCACCCUCCUCCUCCCAUUGCACCAACUACAGAAACUCUUGGACCAUCAAUCAUCCUGGCACACCAGUGUUCACUGUCUCCGGUCCCACGGGUCAACAACCUCCUGGUCUCUCCACCCCCCUCUGGCGGAUCUCUCCCUCAAAUCAUUGGUGUCCCGGUUCCAGUCUCCUACACAUUUCAACAUACUGUCAAUAAACUUCUUACCGUUA
Molecule: long non-coding RNA, 634 nt
Organism: Girardinichthys multiradiatus
Lineage: Eukaryota; Metazoa; Chordata; Actinopteri; Cyprinodontiformes; Goodeidae
Exons: 2
Source: RefSeq, a predicted model, not a curated record